UCUCCGUGGUAACCAGCGGGAGGGAUCAUUA
This 31-nucleotide ribosomal RNA is filed under the name Eutypa lata. RNAcentral describes it as "partial small subunit ribosomal RNA". Lineage: Eukaryota; Fungi; Ascomycota; Sordariomycetes; Xylariales; Diatrypaceae. The record is from RNAcentral.